Molecule: long non-coding RNA, 185 nt
Organism: Phyllostomus discolor (pale spear-nosed bat)
Lineage: Eukaryota; Metazoa; Chordata; Mammalia; Chiroptera; Phyllostomidae
Exons: 2
Source: RefSeq, a predicted model, not a curated record
UUUAGAUUUAGUUGUUGACAGGUGUGAAUUUAUUGCCAUUUUAAUGUUCAUAGUUUUGAUCUUCUUUUUCUUAAAUAAGUCUUGUUAGCAUAUCAUGUAACAAUGGCUUGCUGAUAAUGAACUCCUUUUGCUUUACCUUGUCUGGGAAGCACUUUAUCUGUCUUUCCAUUCUAAAUGAUAGCUUU